AGUGUUAGUGUGCAUAAAGUUAUAGCAUAGAUUAAAGUUUAAUCUAAUUGAGAUUGAUGUGGAUUAUUGAAGGAGUAUAUAUGUUUGUAAACACGCUGUUCAUAACUAUCUACAUCCAAAAAUUGAAGAAUGUAUUUAUUUUAUAAAAUUGGGUAUAAAAUUCGAAAGUUAGAAGAAAUUUUAAACAAUGCUACAGAGUCAAUCAACAGAUGCAUUCUGAAAUUAAAAUUUAUGCACUUUUAUAGAUACUAGAGUUUUAUUUUUUGAAAAAAUUAAACUGAAAACGUUUAUUAUUAUUUUUUUAACACACUCUUAAAAAAUAACUUUAUAUGAAUGUCGACCUUCUGGAAAUUAGAAAUGAAAUAGGAUAGCGUUAUUUGUCAGAUUGUGUGAAUAGAAUACGUAAAAAAUCUAAAACGAAACUAUUGAAUAGAGUUUAAAAUACAUGGUUUUAGAAACACACAUCAUGUAAUUAAUGAAUAGAUGUUGCAAUUUAAAACGAGCUUUGUUAACUUCGUCCUUAUUUUUUUUUAUUCUUUCAUGACUAAUCCAAGUAUCACAAAAGAUUUGUACAAUUUGUACAAAAUAUUCUUCUAUUUUUUUCAAAAUCUCGUUUUAUUUUUUCUGAAAAUUUGAAAAUUUGAUUUUAAAAAAUACAGCUUGUAAACAAGUCAAAAUAACCUUAUUAUGAUGUUAUAAACAUACAUCUAGAGUGAAACAACAUAAAAACAUUUAUUUGCAAUUCAAUAAAUAAUUGAUCCACAUCGUUACUGCAUAAUUAAUCAACAAAUUAUAGCCAAAAUUGCAACUUAUGCUCAAAAUAUAUACACAAAGGUUUAAUACAUCUCAAUGAUUUUAACAAAUCAAUCAUAAGCAUCAAAAGGCUGAACCUGCAGUUGAUAUUUUUAAAAAUAAGCAAAUCAAACCUUGUUCUUAUCAAAUUGUUUUCUUCAAUGCUUGAGGCCUAGAUUAUAUAUAUAUACACACAUUAUAUUAUUGUUACUAAUGAUUGUACACUAUGAAAACAUAUCGUGAUCUAAAAAAAUAGAUCAUUGUAUGUAUGUACAUAUAUAUAUAUAUAUAUAUAUGUAUUGAAAGAUGGUUUCUUUCUUACAUGUUCAAUGGUUUCAGUUAUUAAUGCUUGAAAAUAGAAUGAAAUAAAAUAAGGUUGACAUCACAUUGUUUUCAGAGGUUUAAUUUCAAGGAUAGAGAAUCCCCAGCAAAAACGUUCUCACUGCGUAUUUCUGUGAAUGCUAAAUAAAAAGGGAUAAAAAUGGGUAUAAAUCAAUUAGAACAGUCAAGAAGAAGAAGAAGAAGAAGAACUCUGAUUGAGUUAUGACAAUCUAUGAAGGCGGCAUUGACUAGAAUUCUAAAUUUAUGUACAGAGUACGUAGGCUUACAUGCAAUGUAUUGGAGAUAAUGUAAUGUUUUUACAUUAAAAUCAAUAAAUUAAUAAAUAAGAUUCCUUGAAGAACACUGCUUUGAUUGUACAUAUAUUUGUGUGUCUGUGAAAGUAUUGAAAAAGAACAACAAUAAUAGGGAUCUGACAACAGGGCUAUUAUUGCAUUAUAGAGUGGAGACUGGUUGAAAUGAAUAUGUGCACACCAUUCAGCCUCUCCUUCAUCUAUUCUAUUCGGCAAACGGUGCCAAAUACGAGAACAAAGAUAAAGGCGAUUGGGGUGGGCCAAAUUCCGCACAGAACAGUCCUGCUCUGCUCCAGGCUUGGCUCAUAAUGGAAGCAUGGACCUCUAAAGAAGACCCAACAACAGAAGAAUAAUGUCCCCUUUUUCUUCCUUAAAAAACGAUCUCUUUUCCACUAUAAAAAAUAAAAUAUAAAACAGCAUUCGCAUACUCAAUAACCUGGUCACAAAAAGAAAAUCCUUCAAUCAGAAAAGCUGCCAUGGGAUCAAUGAGUCAAGCCUUUGACUGCCACAGAUCCAACGCCACUGUACAGUUUUCUCAUUCUAAAUAUUAUUAUUAGGGUUAGGGUUAAUACAUGGAAUUAUUGUAAGGUAUUUGUGAGUGAUUAACAAAAAUGGGUAUCCCAACUUGGUCAAACUUUUAGUUUGACUGAGCCAAACCCUAAUUUAUAAAACUGGGUCAUACUUUCUGCAGCUUUAUUGCGAACCCAUUUCUGUGAAGGAUUUAUUUAAUGGCACUAGUCUUCUUUCUUUCAAA
RNAcentral lists this long non-coding RNA (2178 nucleotides) under Physcomitrium patens. RNAcentral's name for it is "long non-coding RNA (PPAT_LNC006188)". The record is from RNAcentral. Lineage: Eukaryota; Viridiplantae; Streptophyta; Bryopsida; Funariales; Funariaceae.